This 439-nucleotide ribosomal RNA is filed under the name uncultured bacterium. RNAcentral describes it as "partial 16S ribosomal RNA". It matches the Rfam family "Bacterial small subunit ribosomal RNA", at positions 339 to 795 of the family's 1533-position model. The record is from RNAcentral.
CUACGGGUGGCUGCAGUGAGGAAUAUUGCACAAUGGGGGAAACCCUGAUGCAGCAACGCCGCGUGGAGGAUGACGCAUUUCGGUGUGUAAACUCCUUUUAUGAGUCAAGAAAAUGACGGUAGCUCAUGAAUAAGCACCGGCUAACUCCGUGCCAGCAGCCGCGGUAAUACGGAGGGUGCAAGCGUUACUCGGAAUCACUGGGCGUAAAGGACGCGUAGGCGGGAUGUCAAGUCAGGUGUGAAAUCCUAUGGCUCAACCAUAGAACUGCGCUUGAAACUGGCAACCUAGAGUAUGGGAGGGGGAGAUGGAAUUAGUGGUGUAGGGGUAAAAUCCGUAGAUAUCACUAGGAAUACCGAAAGCGAAGGCGAUCUCCUGGAACAUUACUGACGCUAAGGCGUGAAAGCGUGGGGAGCAAACAGGAUUAGAUACCCCUGUAGUC